RNAcentral lists this ribosomal RNA (492 nucleotides) under uncultured bacterium. RNAcentral describes it as "partial 16S ribosomal RNA". It matches the Rfam family "Bacterial small subunit ribosomal RNA", at positions 29 to 507 of the family's 1533-position model. The record is from RNAcentral.
AGUGAACGCUGGCGGUAGGCCUAACACAUGCAAGUCGAACGGCAGCACAGUAAGAGCUUGCUCUUACGGGUGGCGAGUGGCGGACGAGUGAGGAAUACAUCGGAAUCUACUUUUUCGUGGGGGAUAACGUAGGGAAACUUACGCUAAUACCGCAUACGACCUACGGGUGAAAGCAGGGGAGCUUCGGACCUUGCGCGAUUGAAUGAGCCGAUGUCGGAUUAGUUAGUUGGCGGGGUAAAGGCCCACCAAGGCAACGAUCCGUAGCUGGUCUGAGAGGAUGAUCAGCCACACUGGAACUGAGACACGGUCCAGACUCCUACGGGAGGCAGCAGUGGGGAAUAUUGGACAAUGGGCGCAAGCCUGAUCCAGCCAUACCGCGUGGGUGAAGAAGGCCUUCGGUUUGUAAAGCCCUUUUGUUGGGAAAGAAAAUCAUCAGGUUAAUACCCCGCUGUUCUGACGGUACCCAAAGAAUAAGCACCGGCUAACUUCGUG